RNAcentral lists this transfer RNA (73 nucleotides) under Mus musculus (house mouse). Its description in RNAcentral is "tRNA-Ala". The record is from RNAcentral. Lineage: Eukaryota; Metazoa; Chordata; Mammalia; Rodentia; Muridae.
GGGGGUGUGGCUCAAUUGGCAGAUUGAUUGCCUGGCAUGCAGAAAGCCCUAGGUUCAAUCCCCAGCAUUUCAU